AUGUUGAGAUGUUGCCCCUCCUCAUGGAGCCGCUUCCACCCAUGGUUCCCGAGGCCGCCGCCUCGACGCACAAACAUCAAACAUCCGAGCCGCCGCCUCGACGCACAAACAUCAAACAUCCGGGCCGCCGCCCCGACAUCCACCAACCUCAACGACAAGAACGGCGCAAACAUCUGCAUCUGGCUCUCCAAGGCGACGCCUCCAAGGAGGAUGCGACGUAGCCGCUCCGAGAGAUCAGAGCUAGGGAUUUCUCCCGGAGAGCCCAUCCGCCACGGGGUGGAAAGAGGCUCCACGACCACGCCUCCAAUGAGGAAAAUGGCAUCGAGGUGCCACCGUUGUCGGCACCAACCGAGGUCGGGCAGAUCUCAUCCACAAACCCGAGAAUGGCGAGGUUGCACGACCAGAUCUGGGCACCGGAGCGCCAAGAUGGCCGGAGCAUGCAGCAUGUCGCAAACGCCCUGGUCGAAGCCCACCAAUCUGCAUCUCGCGUCAUGUCCUCCGCAGCACCUCUCGCUACGUCGGCCGAAACACCACCACCGGUCAUGGAUCCGCGCAGUAACCGCCAGAUCCAGGCACCACAGCUCCCUGCCGGCAAGAACCAGCAACAUCGAGCCCGAGGCCGCCGCCCCGGCGUCCUCCACUCCAUCCGCAGCAGCCAUGGAGCCCUGCACCCGCUGGACGGACAGGAGAAGCCAGAUCCGGCCGAGUCCGACCAAAUCCAGCCCUCCCCACCCGCCUCCUCCUCACAACCGCCGCCAUAGCCCUACCGGAGAUGCGCGAGGCCGCCGCGCCGGCAGCUGUCGACCCCCACUGCGCAUCGCGCCGCCGGCAACUGGAUCGGGCGCCGCCGGCCGAAGCUCCCACCGAAAGAGAGCUGAGCAACGGAGAAGGCCCCGCCGCCGCCACCACCACGCGGGCUUUGCCCGGAGGUGGCCACCGGCGGCGGCGGCGGCGGGGGAGGAGCAGGUGGAGGGAGCUGCUGGCGGCGGGGGACCGAGUCGCCGCCCGUGUCGCCUAAGCUAG
RNAcentral lists this ribosomal RNA (1023 nucleotides) under Triticum aestivum (bread wheat). RNAcentral describes it as "partial small subunit ribosomal RNA". Lineage: Eukaryota; Viridiplantae; Streptophyta; Magnoliopsida; Poales; Poaceae. The record is from RNAcentral.